This 396-nucleotide ribosomal RNA is filed under the name uncultured bacterium. RNAcentral describes it as "partial 16S ribosomal RNA". It matches the Rfam family "Bacterial small subunit ribosomal RNA", at positions 523 to 918 of the family's 1533-position model. The record is from RNAcentral.
AUACAGAGGGGGCAGGCGUUAAUCUGAUUCACUGGGCGUAAAGCGCGCGUAGGAGGCUAAUUAAGUCAAAUGUGAAAUCCCCGAGCUUAACUUGGGAAUUGCAUCCGAUACUGGUUAGCUAGAGUAUGUGAGAUGAUGGUAGACUUCCUGCUGUAGCGGUGACACGCGUAGAGAUGGGGAGGAAUACCGAUGGCGAAGGCAGCCAACUGGCCAAAUACUGACACUGAGGUGCGAAAGCAUGGGGAGCAAACAGGAUUAGAGACCCUGGUAGUCCAUGCCGGAAACGAUGUCUACUAGACGUUGGGGCCCUUGAGGCUUUAGUGGCGCAGCUAACGCGAUAAGUAGACCGCCUGGGGAGUACGGUCGCAAGACUAAAACUCAAAUGAAUUGACGGGG